RNAcentral lists this ribosomal RNA (253 nucleotides) under uncultured bacterium. Its description in RNAcentral is "partial 16S ribosomal RNA". It matches the Rfam family "Bacterial small subunit ribosomal RNA", at positions 524 to 776 of the family's 1533-position model. The record is from RNAcentral.
UACAGAGGUCCCAAGCGUUGUUCGGAUUCAUUGGGCGUAAAGGGUGCGUAGGUGGCGCGCUAAGUCAGGUGUGAAAUUUCGGAGCUUAACUCCGAAACUGCAUUUGAUACUGGCGUGCUUGAGGACUGGAGAGGAGACUGGAAUUUACGGUGUAGCAGUGAAAUGCGUAGAGAUCGUAAGGAAGACCAGUGGCGAAGGCGGGUCUCUGGGCAUUUCCUGACGCUGAGGCGCGAAAGCGUGGGGAGCAAACGGG